This is a non-coding RNA of Sus scrofa (pig), 4304 nucleotides long. NCBI's taxonomy places the organism in Eukaryota, Metazoa, Chordata, Mammalia, Artiodactyla, Suidae. The record is from RefSeq and is a predicted model, not a curated record.
CCGCAGCUUGUGGCAGUGCCGGAUUCUUAACCUACCGAGCGAGGCCAGGGAUCGAACCCCCUUCCUCAUGGAUCCUUGUCAGGUUCGUAACCCCUGAGCCACGACGGGAACUCCACAAACCACACUGCUGUGAUUACCGUCGCUUUGUCGGAAUUACUGAAAUUGGGAAGCGUGGAUCCUCCGACUUCUUUAUUUCAACACUGUCUUGGCUUUUUAAGGCCCUUUAUGCUGCUUUCUGAAUUUGAGGACUGGCUCUUCCAUUGCUGCGGAGCGGACUUCUGGAGCCUGACAGCGACUGUACUGAACCUGCAGACGGCUUUGGAGGUGACGCCGUCGUCACGGUAUGAAGUCUCCCUGCCCAGGAACAAAGCAUGUCCUUCCACGUACUCGGAAUUCCAUGCUACGGAUUUCUGAGUUUUUCCUGCUUGAAUUUGUUGAGCUUCUUGUACAGCAGGCACAUGAUCCAGCCAGGGUCAGACUGAACUGCCAACCUACCCGCUGUGCGCCGUGGUUCCAGGUCAGUGGUUCUCCAAGCUUGCCGAGCAGCGUGGGCAGCUCAAGGUGAGCCGGGGGGCGGUAUCCAGCUCCAGGGGGGGCUUUCUCUACCUUCCUCUAGGCCUUGAUGUCCUGUGCGUCCUGUCUCCUGACCCUCAGCUAACUGGCCCAGGUCUCGGCCCCCCCGUGACGUUACGCACCUCGUGGGGCCAGAUAAAGCCUGUCUCCCUCCCACCCCGCCUGGACUGGCAGCGCCCCUGGUCCGGCCCCUCCGCGGGCCCACUGUCUCCAGGGUGUGCAGUGCUGAUGCCCAGGCCAUCCCAGAAGCUACGCCAGGAGACGCGGGGGGACAGUUGAGGACAGUCGUUGCUGCAGGGGCUGCUCUUCUGGGGAUGAUCCCCUGCUGUCGCUUCUUCCACGACCGAGACGGUUGCUUUGUCCCGUGAAUGCCCGAGACACAGGGCAGAGCGUGUUCACGCCAUGGGGACCUCAGGACGUGUCUCAAGUCAGAACUUCUGUGUUCACAGGUUUCGUCGUCUCACCAGAGCGCGUCUGAAACCUGCGAACACUGGUCACUGGGGACAGGAGCACGGAGGCGGGUCCACCUGGGUCUUUCCACCCCCGCACGCGGUGCAGCCUCACCUCCGCUCGGGCCUCAACUCACCACGCGGUGAUGGCACGGAGCCUCCAGAGCUGCCUCAGCCCACGGGACGGCACGGGGCCCAGACGCGCGCCUCCCCCAGCGGCUGCCACCCUCUGCUCUGAGGAGCUCGUCGGCUUCUACGAACCGAAGGCCUCCUCUCUCGACUCCUUUCUCGGGUGGAGGAAGGUCACCCUGCAGGACGGCGGUCGCCUCCCCUCCGCUCCAUUCACUUCGGCGUGAACUACGGCAUCACCAGAGCGGCUCCUCCGGAGCAAGAAGGGGCCGCGACCUAAAGCACUGGAAGCAGGGAUCCGCCGCGGACCCCGGCCCCAAAGGCGCGGCCGUCCAGGCCGCUGUCCGCACCGCCCUGCCUGUCUCUAGGGAGGGCGCCACUCUUCGCUCCGUGGGAACUGUCCUUGAAGGCGGUGCCACACCCCGGGUGACGGGCCGGGACCUGCGUGCCCGCCUGCCCCUUAGACACGGUUUCCGUCUCACAGGACGACGUGGCUCAGCUGCUUUGCAACGUCCCUUCCCAGGCUGAGCGCUGAGCCUGCAGGAGAAACGGCAGCUACGGGCUGUUCAACUCCAACUCGACGGCAACAGCCAGGCUGACUCAGCGGGGCCUGCGACCGGAGCCUGUGCCCGGGCACACGCGCUCCCCCUUCCCGCGGUGGAGCCCGGAGCUGGCACUGCUGUCGUCACAGCCGCUCCUUCCGACACUUGUUCCAGCGCACGAGGCCUCUGGCGAGCUCCGAACAGAGCAGUGCCUGCUUAAGCUUAUCCAAAGGACAAUGAUACUCUGUAUUCAAUUAAAAUUAAUAAAAAUAUUUUAUUGAGUUUCAGGAACUUGGUACGUUUAAAAUUUCAAAUCUUUGCACACAGAUCACCACUAUACCUUAUAGAAUAGUGGAGGUUAGGACCCGAAGAUUGUCACUUGUCUCCUUGUGUCACAAAGCACAGAAAUCCCAAGUCCUGACACGGCCCCACCCUCUGACCGUGACUCUGGCCUACUCUGUCGUCCUGGGAGGGGACGGUGCGAGGGGUGACGUGUCCGGAGAGCUCAACUGUCCGAGUGGAGACCCCCCGACUCGAGAGGAAGCUCAGUCCGCGCACGAACCCGGGAGGAGCCGCGUCACUCGCCUCCCGCGUGAGUCCCCCUUUUGCGUCUUGUCGGGUUCAGGGCGAAGCUGCUGAAAUGAAGUUUCUUGUCCCUGAGGGAGCGCAGACGUUUGGCAAAGGUCAGAGCAGACACUGCCUGCAGUGAGGCGCUUAGGAACAGCCGUGCGCGGCUGGGCAGGGUCCAGUGCGACGUGACCUCUGCAGCACCAGGCUUCCCCCGGGGCCACGGGAACCAGCUGUUUCUCCCAGGGCUCGGGGGCCACAGGGCUCCUGGGACUUCCGGGCUAAAUUCAAACAUAAAAAGUGCCUGUGGUGUGGUGGUUUGUUAAUCUGUGGGGUUUUCUGCCCUCUCCCUGGCAUUCUGAGAUUUCUAUGUGCCAGUGAGUAAGCCGACUGAACAAGACGGAGGAGCAGCAAAGAGACCGCCUCACCUGUGACAAGGGCGCGCGUUAGCGCCUGACAACGCAGCCUGUCCUCCUCUUCUUGGGCUCUGAGGACGGGCGCUCUUCCGACCCACGAGCCCACCAGGGAGCCCCCAGACCCACACAAUCUACACACGGGCUCGGCAUCACCCACCGACAGGCGGCGCCUGCAGGCGACGGUGGUGGGACGUGUCUCCUAGGAGCACGGGCCAGGCCAUCUACCCGCGGGGGGCCCCGUCCACCUCCCUCCCCAGAACUCACGGUCAGGGGCUCCAGCGGCCAUCAGUGAAGCCACCCAACCUCACACGCGGACACAGCGUGAUCUGAAUGAUUUUGCCGACUGCAAACCUUCUGAGUCAAAAGAGAAACACAAACGUACAUUCCAAGGUCUCUGGAAAGUGCCUGGGAGGCAGGCUGCUGCCUGAGGCACUCGGACCCGUCCGUGCUGCAGUCUGCAAGCGAGGCUUUGCCACUGUCACACACGUGGUCUGGAGUUGACAUGAUGGUUUUGUUUUAUUUCUGAGAUGGCUGAGUUAUAAAUCCAGCUAGUGUGCAGUCAUUUCAUAAUUUUUAAUACGCAUCGUCUGCAAUAACAUUGUGACAGCUCCAUACCGUGGAUUGACACACAAUACUGAGAACAGAUUUAUCAUAUUUGGUCUUUAGGUAAAUAAUAAAUGUUUUAAAAUUGCCUAAAUAUACCAUUCUGAGCCGUUUCAUUCCACCAGGAAAAUACAGGGUUUUUUCCCCUCUCUUUAAAAAAAAUUAAAUACCAAAAUAACUACAUUUAAAUAAAUAACGUUAUGAUGAUGACAUUUAAAAAUUCACAAGAAGGCCAGCGCCCUCUUUCUGCCUGCAGGGCUGCUCAGCUCCGAGCCCGGAUCGCUCUGGGAGGCGAGUGGCUGCUUCCCGAGGAGGGCGAGGGCCGUGCGAGGCCGCCGCCUCCGACUCUCUCACCUUCGCUUGCUCUCCGCCUGCUCUUGUUUGGGUGGGAGAGCAGUGAGCCGUAGUCCUCGAGUCAGUUCUCACAGGCGAGGGGCAUUUCCUAGUACAAGUCAGAGAACGACCUGGAUGUUUCCAGCGCUUGCCCAGAGGUGCCGCAGGAACAGGCAGCUUCUGCUCCAGUGCGAGGGGGGCUUCGGCAGCGCUUCGGGCGGGCGGCCGGCGGGUCAGACGUGCCGAGAGCUGGUGAUGGCACCUCCGCUGCCGACGCCCUCGGGGAGAUCUGUGACAUCUGAGAGGAUGUGUGAUAAAAAGAUUAAAUCUUUUUUCCAAAUGAAGAAGUGAUAGCUCUGUUGUUUUAAACAUACACACUACGUAGGAGACCUGUUUUACUGAGAGUGGAAAUUGUGCCGGGGUCAAGGUCGACACAAAGGGACAAACGACAGCAAGGAGCAGAGAAGAGAAACAGGAAGCGCAGCUCCGGAGCCCGGUGGCUCCUCCGGCGGGGGUGGCGCGGUCGGUCGGUCGGUGCCCCGCGUGGGCGUGGAGGAGGAGCAAGAGCAGCGGCCCGGGGCUGACGAGGAGACCCUGCGGGUGUCGUCAAGGGCCCCAUCUGACUGGAGCAGGACAGACAAGGGUCCGUCAUCCCAGAGGCUGCAAACAAACAACAAAAACAAACAAAACCA